This 572-nucleotide small RNA is filed under the name Pan troglodytes (chimpanzee). RNAcentral describes it as "processed transcript". Lineage: Eukaryota; Metazoa; Chordata; Mammalia; Primates; Hominidae. The record is from RNAcentral.
GCUUCCGAGCCGGGUGCGCGCCGAGCACAGGAGAUUGCCUGCCUUUAGGAGGUGGCUGCGUUGUGGGAAAAGCUAUCAAGGAAGAAAUUGCCAAACCAUGUCUUUUUUUCUGUUUUCAGAGACUAAAAUGUUCAUUCAAAUGAAUGGCCAUUGGAUAACUCCAGACCUGAAAAUAAACACUGUUGUCAAAACAGCGUCCAGGCCGGGCGCGGUGGCUCACGCCUGUAAUUCCAACACUUUGGCAGGCGGAGGCGGGCAGAUCACCUGAGUAGUUCACAACAGAUCUGAGUGUUUUAAUUAAGCAUGGAAUACAGAAAACAACAAAAAACUUAAGCUUUAAUUUCAUCUGGAAUUCCACAGAGACAAGGCCACUUUAUGUUUCCCAGGCUGGACUGGAACCCCUGGGCUCAAAUGAUCCUCCUACCUAAGCCUGCAGAGUAGCCAGGACUUCAGUUUUCUUAGCUCCCUGGACCCUGUUGACCUGUUGGCUCUUCCUGCUGGCUGCUCUAUCACGUGGUGCUCUCCGACUACUCACCCCGAGUGUAAAGUCUUGCUGCUCUGUUGCCCAGGCU